Molecule: ribosomal RNA, 116 nt
Filed under: Microcebus murinus (gray mouse lemur)
Lineage: Eukaryota; Metazoa; Chordata; Mammalia; Primates; Cheirogaleidae
Source: RNAcentral
GCCUAUGGCCCUACCAUCCUGAGCGCUCCCGAUCUUGUCUGAUCUUGGAAGCCAGGCAGUGUCAGGCCUGGCUGGUUAGUCCCUGGAUUUGUUUCCCAUCCAGGGCUAACCAGGCC